GCCUAGUUAGCUUAGUUGGUAGUGCGUCUGCCUUGUAAGCGCUAGGCCGCGGGUUCGAUUCCCGCCCGCGGUG
Molecule: transfer RNA, 73 nt
Filed under: Diaphorina citri (Asian citrus psyllid)
Lineage: Eukaryota; Metazoa; Arthropoda; Insecta; Hemiptera; Psyllidae
Rfam family: tRNA
About the family: Transfer RNA (tRNA) molecules are approximately 80 nucleotides in length. Their secondary structure includes four short double-helical elements and three loops (D, anti-codon, and T loops).
Source: Rfam by way of RNAcentral